This is a long non-coding RNA of Aphis gossypii (cotton aphid), 8150 nucleotides long. RefSeq lists it as uncharacterized. Lineage: Eukaryota; Metazoa; Arthropoda; Insecta; Hemiptera; Aphididae. The transcript has 4 exons. The record is from RefSeq and is a predicted model, not a curated record.
UAUGUGAGACUAUAUUAUAUACCUAUUACCUAUACAUGAGACUUAUAGGUAUCCAAAUCAUAGAUAAUAUAUCAUCUAUGACCCAGUUACUAUAUUCUAAACAGUAUUUAUUUUAUAUGUGCAACCAUUAACUUCUGUAUUUUUUUUUUUAACAUUUUAUUUAUAUCCUUUAAUUAGUAGUAACUAAUUUAUCUCAUCAUAAACUAUGUUUAAGAGAUAAACGUUGGAUGUGUCUGAAUAAUUGUGGACGUACAUAUUUAAACAAAAAGAGUCUUAUCCGUCAUUUAAGGUAUGAGUGUGGAGUCAAACGACAAUUCCAAUGUUCUAUGUGCUUUCAUCAAUUCAAACUGCAGUGUCAUUUGAAAAAACAUUUAAAAAAAUGUGUGGCAAAAGUUGAUUCUAUUAAUCAGUGUGGAAAAUUUCGGUGUUUGUGAAAUAUGUAUUAAUAUUUUAUAAAUAAUAAUUAUAUAUUAUACAAGUAUAAAAAAAUCUAUUAAUCCAAUAAAAUUUGAAAGAAUAUUUUUAUUUAUUUAUUUAUUAUUAUUUUUUUAAAUAAGUCUUUAUUGUAAUGGAACUUAUUUAUUUACUAUCAUUACUUUUUACAGUUUUUUUUAUCACUACUAGCUGACCAAGUGGAAUUAAUAAAAUUAUUAAUUUACAAAUUAUGCUAUAUGGUGCUGCUAUACUAUUAAAAUGAACCGAAUAAAUCACAAAUUCAAAAAUGCAUUGGUUAGAUUAGAGUAACAGUUAGUUAAUAAUUAUUUACUUGUCAAUUAUGAAUAAUAAUCAACAACAAUACAAUUUUCAAUUGUUGUUAUAUCUAUCAAUAUCUAUGUUGUUUCAAUAAAUUUAAAGACAUUUUAUUUUUAUAAUUUUCAGACAUUUAUUUACAUACUAAAUUUAAAGUAAUUUAUUAAGUAUCAGUUUCAGUUUAAACAAUUACAUCUUACUUACAUUUUUUAUACUUAGUAUAGUAUAUUUUGUAAUAGAAAUUAGUAUAAUUUUUUUUUUUGUAUAGCUUUAUCCAAUUGUCAUGUACAGUUACUGAAUUGAUGGAUAGUGACAUAUCCUCUUUGAGCAUGCAGAGUGCUUUUAAUAUGUCUAAUGUCUAUACUUACUGCACUAGUGGUUACAUAAUAUAGUAUAUAGCAGGAAUAGUUAACAUGAACAUUUUGCAAGCUUAACGCUGUAACCAGACCCCCCUCUCAAAAAAAAAAAAAAUUUUAUUUAAAUAAUAUUUUUAUAAUUUCAUAUUUUAUUACAUGAUAUAACAUACUUAUACUUUAACCCCCCUCCCAAAUAUUUUGCUGGCUAUGGCCUUGAGAAAGCCACAUGGACAAUUAAUACAAUUAUUCCAAGAACCAAAAUAUUUAUAAAUAUAUUUUAUGUAAUUUGAUAAAUUGUUAUAAAUGAUUAUCAAAUAAAUUAAAAUUCAUAACAAUAAAAAGAAAAUUUUGAUUUUAUGAAUAAAAUACUAGCCUCAUUUGACUAUGAUGAGAGCUGCAAAUUAGCCAUCCUUAGUAUAUAAUCUAUAUAUAUAUAUAAAUGGAUUUCUGUCUGUCUUUUAUCCUAUAUGCGUUCCUAAACGGCCUAACCUAACUAACCUAAGAGAUAAAUUAGAUCUAAGGGUAGAAGAUAGACUAAGUAAAAAAAUUGAUAGGCAUAACCCCGGGAGGUACUCUAACAGACAUUUUGAGAUUUACGAUGGAAAUUUUUGUUUAUAGAUGGUUGCUAUUAGUUUUAAUAAUAAUAAUAAUUGUUUCCACAUGUUCUUUGAUUAUUGCCAAGGAAACAACCAUGCCAUAGCAACCAAAUAUAAACAACAAUUUCCAUCAUAAAUCUCAAAAUGUCUGUUUGAGCACCUCCCGCGAUUAGGCCUGUCACUUUUUAACCAGAAUUUUGUGUAACGAACUUAACAUACAGUUUGAGACAUAUAAGAGGUAUUGCAUCUCUUCAAAAGGUUAUGUUAAUGAAUACAAAUAAUUCUGAAUCAAAAGUCCGUUUCUUUUGUUUAAAUAUGUGUGGCCGAAGCUAUAAGAAUAAACAACAUAUGACCCGCCAUAUGACUAGUGAAUGUGGCGUACAACCAAAAUUCCAAUGUCAAUACUGCAAAAAAUGUUUUACACGUAAACAAACAUUAAAGAUACAUUUAGUAGCUGUGCAUAAUCGUUCACCAGAUGAAAUCCAAGGAAACCCUCGUCACUGUUUAAACUGGGCCACUGUUGAUUAAAUUGUAUUAUGUUUUAUUUAUAUAUUUUUAAUCUUUAGUAAGAUUACACAAACUAAAAUUGCCGUUUAUACAUAUUAUGUUAUUUAAAAAAAUUUUAUUUCAUUUUUAUAGUUGUACACAUUUAUUUUAUUUUUGAGAAAAGUAUGACAGUUAAAAGAAGACUGUUACUAUACACAUUUCUAAGACACUGUUUCAUUGUUGAUUGACAUGUUAUUGUUUACUUAGGUUCUUAGUGUACUGCCAACAAAAAUAAGCUUUAGAUGUAAAUAAUACCCAAAUAAUUAUUAUUGUACUUAAUAAUUAUUUAUUGUACAUGCUACACGUCAUGUACACAUUACAUACAUUUAUACAAUAUGGAUUUUACAAUUGACUGAUUAUUCAGAAAAAUCUACAUGGUUACCAGCAAGCUUUCGUUUUAGAAUAGUGGUCAGCUGACUCAAUACUAUAUUAAGACUAUAUUUAACAUUUUUUUUUUUUCAUUUAAAUAUUAAAACUUGUUUGAUGCAUGAACUAGUACUUUAUUUUUAAAUGAAAAAUAUAAGAUCUAUAGGUAUUUCAUAUUUUUAUUAUUUUUUUGUCAAUACCAACCACCUAUCUACAAUACAAUCUGCACAAAAUAAAAAUAAUUAAAUAAAUAUAGAAAGAAAAAUUAUGAUUAUUGGUUUGAUAAUCUAUAAUGGUGUUGCUCAUGUGUGCCAUUAACUCGGUUGAAUAUUGAUGCUAUUGUUUAAUAAAUUAUAAAUCUUAAUGUUUGUGCAAAAAAGUUUUCUAAAGAACAUUUUUAGAAAAUUUCAAUCAUUUACAAUAUACCUAUAAUGGGUAUUGGGUAUGCUUUCUUGCAUCGAGAAUUAAAAGUACAAUAAAUACCCAUGCUACUAGUUACUACUUAUUAAGUAGUCAUCAGUGGACAGUAGACUACUAUUGUUUAUUAAUAGUAGUGUAAUACCAAUAUAAUACUAUCUAUAAUACUACCCUACCAAUAUAACUAUAAAAUAUAACAAUCUAUAUAGUACAUACAUUUGUUUACUUUACUUUAUUUGCUUAUCACAUUUGUCUAAAGGUGAUCAGAUCUAGCUAAGACAGAAUUUAUAUUUCAUAUGAUAUAUUGAUCAUUAUCAUUCUCUCUUAUUAAUGCUUGUACUUUGUUAGAUAUUUUAAAUUUAAUUCUUAAUCACAAUUAUGUUGGGAGCCAUCUGUUACUUAAUUGAUUAGCAAUAGUAAAUAAAGUCAGAAAACGGCUAAUAAUAAAUAUAUAUUAUUUAAAAUCACAAAUUGACAGUUGUGUAUAGUAUCAAAUAAAUUAUAGUUCCAAUAAUCAAAAAAUAAUAUACAUAACUUUUAUAUUUAAAUACCCAUUUUAGUCCCAUCAUCAUCGUACAGAUUAUUUUCCUUAUACUAAGAUAUCAGAGAGAAGUCUAUUAUAGUAUAGAUAUCAAAAUUCUUGUACAUUUAUGAAAAAUAGUGUUGGAUUAGUAAUUUAUAGCAUUUAAAAUUGCACACAAAUAAGCUUGUCAAAACUCAAAAAUUAUGCAUGUAAUUAUAUACAUAAAUAUACCAGCUUAUAAUUUUAUAAAUGCAUCUAUUGUUAAUUAUAAUAAGAUCAUUAUAAAAUUAACUUAGGUACCUACCCAUUUUAACUGUUUAAUCUCAUUUACUUUAAGAAUUUAUUUUAUUUUUCAGGCAUAGUUCAGAUUUACUGUCCAAAAUGUAACAACAUAUAUGAAAAUAACAAAAGUUUAUUCACACAUUUAAUGUAUGAAUGUGCAAGCGAUGAGCGAAAAUUUCAAUGCAACAUUUGUUUAAUAAAGUUUUCUCAAUUGCAUUUGCUCAAGUGUCAUAUGCUAUCUCAACAUAAAGUUUUAUAUACUUAGCUUAAAGAAAGUAUCCAUAAAAGUUAUACCUCGUUUACCUAUGUAUCAUAAUAAUAUAAUAGGUAACACAAUAUGAAUACUUAUUAUUAAAAUUCUUAAAAGGAUGUCCCAUCAAUUUUUUUAUCUGGUAUUCGCAUAAAUAUGUCGUCGAAAAUAAAAUAUAACUAUAGAGUACCUAUAAUAUUAUUAUCAUAAUAUAAUUAUAAAAAUUGCUUUUUCUUAGAGUAAUAUUAUUCAUAUUAGAGAUAUUCAAUUAAAAAAAAACCAACAACAUUUAAGAUUAAAGAUGAAGAUAAAAAAUUCAUAAUAUCUUACUAAAACAAUUGAAAUUUAUUAUUUAAUAUAAAAUGAAUUCAAUGUUAAUUAUUAAUCUUAUAGUUAAGGAUCAAUAUAUAUUAAUAUAUUAUAUAUAUAAAUAUAUUUAUGAAACAUAACUUUUCUAUUUGACAAUAAUUUUAUAUUUAGGCAACUGGUGUAUAACUAUUAUAAUCUAUUUAAAAUUGGAGUUAUUUACGAAUUUACUAUGAUAAAUUUACAAUAACCAUAAUUAUCUUCUGCUGCAGAAUAACGAUGAAACAAAAUAUCUUAGAUAAACUUUACAUUGUUAUGACUGUUAUGAGGUUGCUGAUGGACCUCUUAUCUCCAAUCAUGUUAUUAUUAUUACUCAUGUCAAUUAUAUUCAUAUUUACUUAUUUUUAUGUAUUAUAUAGAUUGUAAAUUUCUCUUUAAAAAUAAUAAUAAUAAAGUUUUUAAUAAUACUACUAUUAUGAAAAUGUAGAGACUACAGCAGUGCACUCUUUGUGGUCAGUAUGUGCUAAGCAUAACAUUGUGCUUACAUGCACUAAAUCGUCUAAAUCUUAAUAUUAUAGGUAUCAACUUGUGUCUUGCCUAUAGGAAUACUGAAAAAAAUUCAAAUAAGCCAUCUUAAAAUCAUAAGACCUGAUACCAGAUAGGUAGUACCUUUUUCAUUAAAUUCAGUAGUACCUGAAUAUUAUUUUUAACAAUAUUAUAAUUAAUAAGUAAUAACUAUUAGCUAUGGUAUCCUUGGAAAAUAGAAAAGAUAUGUGUGUAAAGGGAAAAUAACGGUUUUCUCCAAAUGGAUUUAAAUAAACCUAUGUAUAAGUAUGUUUAUUGAAAAACAGAUAUGAUAUAGACACUCGCUCUCUGGUAGAUAUUAUAGGUAGUAAUAGGUAUAGAUAUAUAAUAUAUGCAGACACACAGUAUUUGAUGUUUGCUGUUAUAAUUCGAGCUGUUUUAUUUAGUAGGUAUAUAUAUAUAUUUAUUUAUUUUUUUGUAACUUAUUAAAUGUAAAUGAAGAAUGUGUUAAUUAUUUCCUUGAAUAAAAACGUGUUUUUGACUUUCAGAAAAAAUAUAAGUACAUAAAAGUAUAGGACCCUUUAGUCUUAACUAUUACUUAGUGGGACCUAAUUUUAUCUUGUUUCCCAGUAGAGAAAAUGGACCCAAAAGGCGCCUGCCUAUAAAAAUUAUCUAAAAACUUAAGUAUUCUAUUAUUUGUGCCUUAUAAUAUAAAAAGUAUAUUAUACUUAUUGCUAAUUUUAAAUUAAAUAUUUUUCUACCAACUCAUAACUGUUAUGUACCAUCAAGUUUCGAGAGCAUUUUAACUAUAAUUAAUAUAACUAUAUGUCUAUAUAUGUAUCCAGGUGCCUACUUGUAAAUUAUAAACGUAUUAUUUAAUUUUUUACUUAUAUCUAUAAUACAUUUAUACUGAAAUUUAUGAAAAUUAUAAAAAAUGUAUUUGAUUUAUAUCAAUACAUAUUAAGUAUGAUAUAGGUUAAGUUAGGCAGGUACCUUAUUGUAAACGAAUAAUGACUUAAUGACAUGUUCAUUUAGGUCAGUUUUCCAAUCAUAAAUGGUUAUGUUUAUUUACAAGAAAUGGUUAUAGCUACAAGCCUACAAACUCAAACAUACUUUAUCAAAACAUUUAAAACAAUAAAUAUGCAAAAUACAGUCACAAUUCAUGUUCAGUAUCAACAAUAUCUGAAGCAACAUACCUACAAUAAAUUGUGAUAACGUUCCACUCGAACUUAAUUAUCCAUUUUAUAAUAAGUAAUUCAAGAAAAAAGUGUAUCUUAAAAACACACAUAAUGGGAUGAGUAAAAAAAGUUAUCUAUUGACGUCUAUUCAACUAUACCUAUUAUAUUUAAUAUAACGUAUACAAAUGAUUAAUGAAAGUCCUAAGUAGUCGGUUUUUCAAUCAUGAAUGGCCAUGUCCACACAAUUGCGGUCGUAGCUACAAACAUAAACAUACAUUAUCCAAACAUUUGAAAUACGAGUGCGGAGUACAGCCACAAUUCGUUUGCAAAAAUUGCGCCCGUACUUUCAAACGCAAACAUCAUCUGAAGAAACAUACAAUGAGUUGUGAUAACGUUCCACCAGAAUUUAGUUGUCCAUUUUGUAAUAGGCUUUUCAGAGAAAAGUGGAAUCUGAAAUUGCAUUUGGGAUGCGUACACAAAGCUGUUAACAUAAUAUAACGUAGGUAAAUAUAAUUGAAGUGAUGAAUGACGGUCAUACUACAAGAAACUAAUUAUAAUGUAGUUUAUGUAUGUAUAGGACAUAAUAAAGAUUGUAGGUAUAAGAAGAUAACAUACUUUAUAAAACGUUUGUUACACCUCAAUAAUUUAUAAUUUAUAAUAUAAUAAAUAUUUUAAUUGUAUAAACAUAUUGUACAACAGUACAAAUGUACAAUAUUAAGUAUAAGUAGGUACCUAUCUGUGUAUACUCGGUUCACAGUUGUACAUUAAUAUAAAAAUAAAACCUACCUAUAUUAUAUUAUGUAUACCUACCUAGGUACCUAGUAGGUACCUACAUAGGCACCCGCAGAAAUUUUUCUAGGAGAGGGCAAUGUUAGGAUUUGUUAUUAAAUAAAUAGUAAUUUAUCAUAAAACAUUCGAUUUAAAACAUAUUUAUGAAAAGCCAGAGGGGGGCAAAUGCCCCAGCUUGCCCCCCUUCCGGGCGCCUAUGGGUACCUAGUUAUGUUAUGUCAUAAUAAUCACUGCUAUUAAUAAUACCUGAAUGUUAAUACUUUUAUAGUUCUGUAUAGUUCUGCAUAGUUAUUAAUUAUUUUUAUAUCUAACCUAAUCAUUAAUAGCAGUCCCCUAAUUUAGAUGACCUAAUAAACAUAAUAUCGUCAACCACUUUCAUUUUCAAAUUAUUAUUAAAUAUUGUUUUCGAUUUAUUUUUUGUUCCAAUAUUGUUGUAUGAUAGUAAUCAAUAAAAAUAUCUAUACAAAUAGUAUCAUUUAUAACAAUCAUCAAGAUAGAUAAUAAUUAAGUUAUAAAAAAUACUUACAUGUGUUAAUAGAGCAAGAGUAAGACCGAUCAACAUUGAUAUUUUAUCGUUUUAAAAAAAAAAAUUACCACUAGGUAUGAUAAUAUAAGUAAUAUGAAUUUUUGGAAAAAUUAUGUAGGACAAUACAGGUAUGAAAAAAUAUAAUACAAUUUUUCUUUGUGGACUAUAACUACAUCUAAACAGUUUAUAAUAUUAUAAAAUGCAUAAACCUAAUUAUGAAUAUAUUAGGUACCUAUAUAUUAUAUUAAUUGUAAGUCUAUAUAUGUAUAUAACUGUAGAAGUUAUAAUUGUAUGAGGUACCUAGGUUCCCAUAAUACUUAAUAUUUAUCUCUAAGUUGUAGAACUAUUAAAUAUAAACAAAUUACCUAUACCUUUUGAUGUUAUUUUAUAAAUAUUUAGUGUUUUUUAAAGUCCUGUAGGUACUUACAUAUUUAGUUAAGUAUUGUGGUAUUGUGUAUUGUUACACUUAACUACCAAAAGUAGGUAGUAUAUAUAUUUAAGAUGACUUAUUGACUUAGUUAAUAUAAACCAUCAACGGCUUUUAUUUUUUAAUUUUUAUUAUAUUGUAUUUAAUUUUUUUUUAUUCUGAUAUUUAUAUAAUUGUAAUCAAUAAAAUUGUUUAUACAAAUAUUAUGUAUCAAUGUAUCAUUAAUAGUUAUUAAAAAUAUUAAUUGAUAUUUUAAUGGUACAUAAAGUUGACUACAAUAACGAUUUUAAAUAAAAAAAUUUAAAACCAUCAA